Molecule: long non-coding RNA, 2478 nt
Organism: Astyanax mexicanus (Mexican tetra)
Lineage: Eukaryota; Metazoa; Chordata; Actinopteri; Characiformes; Acestrorhamphidae
Exons: 2
Source: RefSeq, a predicted model, not a curated record
CAUGUGACUGUAGAGACUCGGCCUCUGUCUGUGCGCAUGCGCGCUGCGUGUAUGCUCUGUGGAGUGAAGCUGAGAUUUGCUCUCAGAGCUGAAGCGGGUCUGGGAGCGGGUUUCUCCGUCUCUUCCUCUCCUCCGCCCCCCUGGACCCACAGAACUCACCGGGCCGGAUGUUUAUCUCUGUAGGAGUGUGUGCGGUACCGCUGGGGAUCCGGAAGGAGUUUGUGUGUGAGGACUGUGGUGGUCUUCCUGCCAGUGGCUGUCCGGAUGGUGUCCCCCAGUAUGAAGGCGCUGGUGGAUGCUAUUUGGGCUGUGUGGAGCAUCGGAGUGUACAUCUAUGACUACAUCAAUACCAGUGCCAUGGAGGAGCGCAUACACAAUCUGGAGAGUGUCAUCACGGUCCACCAGUGUGUUAUUGGCCUGCUGACUGCUGGACUGGUGGGGCUGUUCACCUACAUACUGCUUAGGAAGCACUAAAGAAGGAAGAGGAGAAGGAAGGUGGCCAUUUCUCUGUGGUAACUGAGCAGAUGUCAGUGUUAAUUGUACAGGUUAUGUCCAGCUGUGGUCACAUGCUAAAGGGAUUUUAACAUAUCAGCUUAAUUAGCUCAUUAAUAUUACCACCAACGUGCUUAAUUUAAUUAGCAGUUUCUACAUUUUAUACAACCAUCCACAUUUUCACCAUCCCCAGGUCCAUAGUUGAACAAUAUCUGCAUUGUCGUCAGUUUCGUACCACACACCCUGGCAGUUUUUGCACAGAAUCAUAAAUCUGACCAAAAUUUAAUAGAAUUAUAAUGAAUAUUCAGUACCAUUUUCACAGUAGCGUCACAUUUUAUUUUUUUUAGUUUAGUUUAAGUUCUACUAUACAAUUAACUUACAAAUAAAUUAGAGCAUGUUUGCUGUAAUAUCAGUAUGAUUAUUCAUAAUAAUGUACAACAUUCCUAGGCAGUUCAAUGGCCAUAUUCUGCAAUCUGCACUGUCUACAGCCCAAGAACAGAUAUCUGUGGAUACCAGGUUCUGCAGGAACAUUAAAUAACAGCCCAACUGUGGUUCUUACCGUUCAUAGUGUGACACCACAGUGCCGUCUGUGAACAGGAGCUAAACCAGGAUCAGAUCAGCAGUGAAGAAGAUCACCGGGCUGUAAUUGAAGCUAUCUUUAAUAGACUCUAACUUAAAAUGUGUAAUAUUUGUUGUAUCAUUUGACAGCUUGGUUAGGACCAACCAUUGGUUUGGACUCACAGGAGCACACCAAGACUAGAUAUUUCCACAGUACUGAACCAGGGGAGUGCAUUAUAAAGUGUCCUUAGUCCCUAACACGUUUACUGAACUACUGAACAACUACCAUUGCGUAGCAUUUGAUUGUGUAUUUAUAACUUAUUGUUUUUAUUUAUUAGCCUUUUCAUUCGGUAACGAGGUCAAAUGUUGUUUAAUCACAAUGGUGGUGUCAAAAAAAUUGAUUGUACUACUUUAUUAACAGUUCUGUCAUAUUUGUAUUAUUAUUUAUUUUGUUUUGAUUAAAACAAUCCCCUAGCUUUAAGAACUCAUUAGAAAGGGCAUGUUAAGGGUUCUAAUUCACUGACACUAAAUUAGUGCAAUCACAGUAUAGUAUAAAAUUAUUACUUUUAUAUAAAUACUUAUUAAAAGUCUGUAUACUUUGAAUGGACGAAUAAGUCAUAUUUUAUUUAACUGCAAACACAGUUGUGCCACCUCUUAGUAGAGACUAUGCUAAUAUCCAAGGUCCCAUUUUCCUAAAUUUCCUUGUAAAUUGAAAAUUGAAAAAUGUAAAAACAGUGGGGUUUGGGGUGAAAUUUUGGUUUGCUGUAAAAAAAAAAAACUUGCUCUGAUUUGAGGAUGUUGAGGAGUCAGAAUACAAAUAAAGCCAUUUUAUUUGUUUUCCAAUCCCAAAAGUGAACUAAGAUGUGUCUUUUGAGUCAAACAAAUUUCAAAAACAAUUUCAAAAACAUUUCAAAAGCCUAUUUUAGGUCCAAAAUGUUCUCUAAACAGUGUUUAGAGCUAUAGACAUCGGAUUCAAUUCACCACCACUUUUUUCAAUUCUGAAAUGAAACAUUUCACACCAAACCCACUAAAUGACUGACUAUAUCUUGACCAUUUAACUAUGCAGAGAUUAAUAGGGUUCUCAUUUGCGCUAAACUUAAACUGAAUGAAAGCAGUACUGUUGUACAGUUCUCUUGAUAGAUGAGCAACUGAAGUCUCUAUAUUAGUGGGCCUGUGUGAAUCACUUUGCGUUCUAUGGGAUGAAGACAGUGUUAUCUGUGAAAGCACAUGAAUGUAAAUGUACUGAAGCACUAAACCGAUAACUUACCUCAAACCUUAGUGAAUAAGCAAACAGGUUGUUUUGUUUACUUGUGUCAUUUGAGAUUUGCGCACUUGAGGGCUAAAAUAGAGUACAAAAUUAAAUCAAAAGUCCCCUCUGAAUUCUCUUCAUAUUCAACUCAACAAUAAAAUGUUUAUUUGUGAAAAGUG